RNAcentral lists this long non-coding RNA (5409 nucleotides) under Solanum tuberosum (potato). Its description in RNAcentral is "long non-coding RNA (STUB_LNC001608)". Lineage: Eukaryota; Viridiplantae; Streptophyta; Magnoliopsida; Solanales; Solanaceae. The record is from RNAcentral.
ACAUACACCACCCCUCCUCUCUGUAAGAAAAUAGUCCACAUACCCCACUCCUCCCCGUAAUUCACUAAUGAAGUUUCUGAUCUUCUAUCGUUCUAAUCUAGGGAGCAACUCAAGAACGUAACUGAAGCACAACUUCUCUCCGAUACAGGUAGAGAAAUUUCAGCAAAAUCUGCAAGACAUUAUACAUACUUCUCUCAAAUUCGGUUGGAGAUUUGGGGAUUUUCUAUUUUGCCCAAAUCUGUAUUAACCCUAAAUUUAUCUAGUCGUAGGCCUCAAUUUCAAAUUAGGAGUGUCAGUUUGUUAGAGGACAAUCAACAAACAUAUAAGAUCAAAAGGAACAAGGUACGCCAAUUUUCAAGUUUAUUAAGAAAAAUUAGGUCGAAGAUCUCUCAGUUCCUUCUACUUAAGUCGGCAACUAGGUCUCUCUAUUUUAAUUGCUAGAACACAUUCUAAUUUUCUUAAAAUAGAACCAAUCUUCUCUUCUUACUGCUUAUCGGCUUAUUGAUAUGUUGAACACUUAAUUUUUCUUCUCUUCAAGAUAAGUUUGUGUUAUUUUCACUCUGAAUUGUUUUGUGGAAUGUCUAAUUUUUUCAAAUUCUUUGUUUUCCCUAAUUUUUGAGGAUCCAUUUUGGUUUGUUUUUCCUUUUAUUUUAACUGAAUGUUAUUCUGCUUUGUGCACUAGUGUUGUCAUAUCCUUAAUUAUGUUCGAGAUAGAGUUGCAAAAGGUUCGUAAGUAUUUAACCAAGUCACUGUUAUUAAACUUAUGUUCCAUACUUUCAUCAAAAUACUGUUUGCACCAACAACACCUAGAGUGGCCAAGAACUUUGAAUUUUUAGAGGGAACUGUCAACUGGCAGUCUAAUUCUCGAUAGUCUCAUAAUAAAAAAUGAUAUCUUGAAAGUGAUUUUUCAUUUUACGAUGCCAGAUCAUCUUUGAAGUAAUGCAUUGGCUGUUUCUCUAUCUCAUUGACUCCGAAGUAGUGUGACAGGUGAAUUUUCCACUAUAGUGGAUGGACCAAAUUUGUAGAUCUUCUUGUUCAUCACAAAUUUGGAUGUUCAUGAUUUUCUGAACUACUCAUUAAGGGAAAACUGCUUUAAAUCUAUUCACUUUCCAGUAGCCAUUAUGAAUAAAAUUAGUCACUCUUGGGUUCUUCCUCUAGGAGGACUAUUGAUGGUGCUAGCCCAUUGCACUUUACUAGUCCAGUUAUCCAAAAAAAUUAAAAUCAUCUCAGGCCCAACUUUGCGUAGAAUAUACUUAGCACAAAUAUCCCUGAUCGGUAGCAUUCUUCUCCAAGUGUGAAACUGAUCAGGACCAUUCUUCCUUGAACAAGGGCGAGCUAUUUGAGUGUAGCUUCUAAAAAGUCUCUAAGCAAAGAUUUUUUUGUACUGAAGUUCCACUGUAUUUUAGCUGAGAAAGGACCAAAAGCUUCCUAUAAAGAUCUGAAUCCUACAACUCUCAUUAGUAGGAAACCAUAUGUGUCCAUUGUGGGUACAUAGUAAAAGAUUGAUAAGCUAGAAUACAUGUGGAAUGCCAUUACGGUAAGGAUUACAACAUUAUUUUCUUUAAUUUUUGUAGUUGGAAGUUACUGAUAUGGACUAUUUUGUUCUGCACAUAAAGUAAAAUUUUAUCACCUAGUUACAAAAUUCUUGGACCAGGUAUCUACAUCUAUUAACUUUCCUAUUGUGUUUCAAGUAAUCCACUCUUUCAGCUAUCUCUUUAUUAUUUGUACAAAUGUAAUCUCUAUAUUUUUAGCUGUCACUCUGAAUAUAUAUCAGUUUGUUUCUCUCCAAGUGUGGUAACUAUCUCUCCAUAUAGCUGUAACUAAUUCCUUUUCAUAUUUUUCGAGUGCCUUCCCUUUCUCCAUAUUAAGCUUUGUGUUGCCUUCAUCUUUUGUACUCCAAUUCACUAGUUCUGUCUUCAGUGUUUUUCUAUAACUAGUAUUUCAUUUUCAGUACAUAGUUAAUCGUAUGUUGCCUUCAUAGAAUAUUACCAACUACUUUGUCCCCCAAAUGAGUCUGCCAGGAGAUCAAUCGUUGAUCUGGACAACUCCUACACUCUCCAGUAAGUUGAGUAGUGAGUACAUUUUGAUAAGAGAUCCAAUCGAGUUUCCAGCUUGUUAUAUCUAUAUAAACAACACUUAUCAUCUUCUAAUUGUAUUUGUAGUCUAAUCUUCCUCUCUUUAGUUAGAAAUUUCUCUUGAUUAGCCAGCUGCUAGCCAGACAAUAAAUUGGUGUCAAGGUAACAUGAGUAAGUACCAUACCAAGUCUACUACAUUUAAUCGCAGCUGCCUACGCAUCAAUUUAUUGUGGCUUCAACUCACAUUAUAUGCCUCAUCGCACUAGUAGUAAGCCUAUCAGAGAGAUUAUUUAUGAAUUAGUAAGUAAAUCUAAAAACUUUUUAGAAAGCCUCUUCUCUGUUAAUUUGAUUUCUUUCACCUUCUUAUUUAUAUGUGAGGAAAAGAUGGUAAGCCACCAAACAUGGAUACUAUAUUCUUUGAGACACAUAAGAAGGAUAACAAGCUUGUCGAACCUGAAACAAAUACAAAAUAUGGAUGUUUGCUCUUAAAUUUCAUGUUACACCAUUUAACUUUAUGUGCUUAAUUAUUUUAAUUUGUCCCAUGUUUUAUAUUUUGAUAUCCAAAAAGUGAUUCAAUCUUAAUUUAUCUCUUACAAAUAUUGAGGUCGUUGAGAAGUGAUUUGGACCUCAACCUAAAAAUAAUGUGGUAGGAUAACAUCGAAGGAAUUGAAAUGGUGGUAACUCUUCAAAGGCUGCAUUGCUAGAUAAGUUGAAUGUUGAAUGUAAGUGAAAUGCAUGGAUGAGUUAGAGAAUAAUUAUUAACGUGUGGAUGAGCUCGAGAAAAAAAUAUGAACAGCUUGCAAUUGUUGUGUUUUGUUAGCCUUCAUCACCGCCAUAUUCCACUGAUCAAUAUAUUGAACUAGUUAACAGGUUAGUAGACAAUUUUCUUUGGUCUAUGAUGAAAUUAUUGUGCAACGCUAUAUGAAAUUCUUUUCAUUAGUUGGAAAAGGUUUAGUAUAUGUGAUUGUUCUUAUUCAUAAGCCUAACUUUCAAUGUGGGAGACCUUAGCUCUAACUAAGACAGCUGAGGCAGAGGACAGUGUUCGAUUCCUCUUAAGCAGAGAGUAAUUGUUCCGUGUUUCUCUUUCUUAUUCAUUAUUGUGUUGUCUCUCCAUGCUAUUUAAUAUUACUACUUCUUCCAAAAAAGUUCACAUGCAUUCAUUCAAUCAUUAAAAGAAUAGAGCUUCUGCCACAAUUUAAUCUGCAACUCCCAGGUAAUGAGGGAAGCUUGGAUAUUUAGGUUAUUAUCCUAGUUCAGCAAGAGUCUUUGAAUUGUUUAACUUCUUUCCUUAAGGGCCACUAGUUCCUGAAUGAAGGAAUAAAUGACUACUGUAGCAUGAUUCUUUAAACACGUGGCUAAAUACUAGCUAACUUCAACCCUCAUAAAAGGAGAGCCUAACAUGAAACAAAUAACUAAUAAAAGCUUAUAAAAUUCUUACAACGUAAAAAACGUUCCUUCAUCAACCCUUGGUAAUCCCUAACAACAUCUACAACCUUCAAACUCCUAACGAGUAAAGGAAAAGAUAGAUGGAUCUUUAUAUGAAGUUAAAAGAUAUCUAUUAAAGUUGAACUUAGAUUCAAAGGAGUUAUUUCGACCAUAAAGACUUUGUUUAGCAAGUUAAACCUCAGUUUUGCUUCUUACUUUUUCAACAUGAUGUUAUCUUGAACUUUGAUUUUGCUUGCAUGUUGUCUGCUAACUGUCUUAUGAUUCAACACAAGUACAUAACAUGAAACAAGAAGUCAAGAACUACUUUGUAUCUGAUACCAACCUCAACAUUACCUGAUUUAGUUGGUUUUAUUUGAUGGAAAUAACAGGGAAUAUAGUGACUCUAGUAAGAGUUAAUUUUUCCAAUUAUAAGCAUGAAAAGAAAACAAGAGGAAAGUGAACUGAAAGGAGCUGAAAGAUAAUUUAAUGCAGGAAGUAUAGCAUAAAAGUUGUAGUGAUGUGCAGAACUUUCAACACUCAUUUGUCUCUUUGUACAAAUAUAAAUAUACGGUGCAAGAGAAUACUUCUCUGUAGUACAAGAUUCAUGAUCAAAACUACUCCUAGUGGCAGAAAAAAUUUAGUAACCAAUUAAAAUCCACAAAUUAUUCAGUUCCUAGAUACAUUAGCUAAUUUAAACAAAUAAAGAAGUAAGAAUAGGCAUCAUGUUUUGGGAAAUUGAUUUAAAGAUAAAACAAGGGAACCAAUACACUUUGAUGUCAUGAAGAGGAUAUAUAUUUCCUAAUUUUUGGUGCAUCAAUCAUUUCUUUUUGAGGAAAAGAAACUAAUACUGACUGUAUACGUAAAACAUGUUAGAGUAGGAAGGUAGAUAAUUAUGUGUUCCUCAUUUGUUUAAUAGUAAACUUGGCAAAAGUUUUCAUUUUUUCAUGAGGAAGAAGCAUUGAAUAAAGUAACCACAUACUAAAUUCAAAACAGAGAAAGAACUCUUAAAUUUUUAUGUGUUUUGAGAUAUGUUUUAGUAGUCCUUGUGUGAUGAUUCAAAAUAUUUUCCAUCUUCUCUUCAUUGUUUAUCUGCCAAAUCUUUUUUGGCUAUAUUUGUGUUAAAAUUUUGUUUGUCCUAUCUUGAAAGCUCAGUUCAUUCCAUUUUGCUGUUCAAUGAAACUGACUUUAUGUUAGAGUUCAUUAAAAUCAUUCAAUUUGAAUUAGAGAUAUACAUGGAAGAAAAUCUGCAUUUAUAUCAAAUCUUUUUUGACAAGUGAUGAAGUUUUGCAUUUAUAUUAAUCUCUUUGUGAUGCCCAUCUGUAGUUUGGUCCACAUGUUUUAUACUAUGAAACUACUUCUUUGCUAUAAUUAUUUGUGUGCAGCAUAUUAUUAUUUUUUUGGGUGAAAAAUUAAUAAUUUUAGCAGACAUUUGUAUUGAAGAAAGGCGAUUGCCAUAUUAGUGUUAAAAACUAUAGCUAUAGUCUGUAGUGGCUGGUUUCUCCCUAAUAAAUACAUUAGUUAUUGUUCACCUGCUUUUUUAGAAGCUUUAAUUUUUUGUUGCAUCCUUUCUGCUAAAUAUUUUGAGGUCCUAUAUGUGUUUCUACUUAAAUUCUUUGUUUUUUGUUAUCAAACUGAUACACACUUCUUCUUCUUUUACAGCUCAAGAAUUUUAAUAUGAAAUAUUUAUCAUUCAAGAAAGUAGGGAGCAAGUUGAAGUUUGUGAGGAUUUUAUUAGGGGGGGUUUAAAGACUAUAUCUUAUGUAUAUAUGUUGCAAAUUUCUUUUUUGAAUUAGAAGUUGAUUAAAGUUGAUGACAUACAACUUGGAUAUAUAUCUUCGUUUAGUUCUCUUUAUUAAUGAUGAAUUCUUAUAUCAAUUCAAUUAUUUAAUAUAUGUUUGAAUGUGUAUGA